AGACCAUGAUGUGGACACUUUCAGAGCAGAUAUUUGUAUCUUUCCCAUGCUUCGUAUAGUGACUCAUUAUUGAAUUGAAUGAAGGUGGUGAUGUCAUUCCUUAGCUU
Molecule: small nucleolar RNA, 107 nt
Filed under: Cephalotus follicularis
Lineage: Eukaryota; Viridiplantae; Streptophyta; Magnoliopsida; Oxalidales; Cephalotaceae
Description: Plant small nucleolar RNA R71
Rfam family: Plant small nucleolar RNA R71
About the family: R71 is a member of the C/D box family of snoRNAs containing the C (UGAUGA) and D (CUGA) box motifs.
Source: Rfam by way of RNAcentral